RNAcentral lists this ribosomal RNA (497 nucleotides) under uncultured bacterium. RNAcentral's name for it is "partial 16S ribosomal RNA". It matches the Rfam family "Bacterial small subunit ribosomal RNA", at positions 28 to 507 of the family's 1533-position model. The record is from RNAcentral.
GAUGAACGCUGGCGGCGUGCCUAAUACAUGCAAGUCGAGCGAACAGAUGAGGAGCCUGCUCCUCUGACGUUAGCGGCGGACGGGUGAGUAACACGUGGAUAACCUACCUAUAAGACUGGGAUAACUUCGGGAAACCGGAUCUAAUACCGGAUAAUAUAUUGAACCGCAUGGUUCAUUAGUGAAAGACGGUUUUGCUGUCACUUAUAGAUGGAUCCUCGCCGCAUUAGCUAGUUGGUAAGGUAACGGCUUACCAAGGCAACGAUGCGUAGCCGACCUGAGAGGAUGAUCAGCCACACUGGAACUGAGACACGGUCCAGACUCCUACGGGAGGCAGCAGUAGGGAAUCUUCGGCAAUGGGCGAAAGCCUGACGGAGCAACGCCGCGUGAGUGAUGAAGGUCUUCGGAUCGUAAAGCUCUGUUAUUAGGGAAGAACAAAUGUGUAAGUAACUAUGCACGUCUUGACGGUACCUAAUCAGAAAGCCACGGCUAACUACGUG